UGCCACUGGGUUCUGUGUUACCAAAACCAUG
RNAcentral lists this non-coding RNA (31 nucleotides) under Homo sapiens (human). The record is from RNAcentral. Lineage: Eukaryota; Metazoa; Chordata; Mammalia; Primates; Hominidae.